AGAGUUUGAUCAUGGCUCAGGAUGAACGCUAGCGGCAGGCUUAAUACAUGCAAGUCGAACGGUAAGGUCUCUUCGGAGAUACACGAGUGGCGCACGGGUGCGUAACGCGUAUGCAACCUACCUUUAACUGGGAAAUAGCCCCGAGAAAUCGGGAUUAAUGUCCCAUACCAUUCUUUGAAUGCAUAUUCGAAGAAUGAAAGCUCCGGCGGUUAUUGAUGGGCAUGCGUGACAUUAGCUAGUUGGUGAGGUAACGGCUCACCAAGGCUACGAUGUCUAGGGGUCCUGAGAGGGUUAACCCCCACACUGGUACUGAGACACGGACCAGACUCCUACGGGAGGCAGCAGUAAGGAAUAUUGGGCAAUGGACGCAAGUCUGACCCAGCCAUGCCGCGUGAAGGAUGAAUGUCCUAUGGAUUGUAAACUUCUUUUAUGCAGGAAAAAUAUCCCGGUCGUGAACCGGGACUGAUGGUACUGUAUGAAUAAGCAUCGGCUAACUCCGUGCCAGCAGCCGCGGUAAUACGGAGGAUGCAAGCGUUAUCCGGAUUCAUUGGGUUUAAAGGGUGCGCAGGCGGAAUAAUAAGUCAGUGGUGAAAUCUCCCGGCUCAACCGGGAAACUGCCUUUGAUACUGUUGUUCUUGAGUACAGUCGAAGUGGGCGGAAUGUGUCAUGUAGCGGUGAAAUGCUUAGAUAUGACACAGAACACCGAUNGCGAAGGCAGCUCACUAAGCUGUAACUGACGCUCAUGCACGAAAGCGUGGGGAUCAAACAGGAUUAGAUACCCUGGUAGUCCACGCUGUAAACGAUGAUCACUCGUUGUUAGCGAUAUACUGUUAGCGACUGAGGGAAACCAUUAAGUGAUCCACCUGGGGAGUACGGCGGCNACGUUGAACCUCAAAUGAAUUGACGG
This 907-nucleotide ribosomal RNA is filed under the name uncultured bacterium. Its description in RNAcentral is "bacterial SSU rRNA". It matches the Rfam family "Bacterial small subunit ribosomal RNA", at positions 8 to 916 of the family's 1533-position model. The record is from RNAcentral.